AGAAAAUUCCAGAAAGUAUACUUGUCAAUUUCAUAGGCAGACAGAAUGUGCAGCGUGCUACUAUCGAAGCAAUUCUGAAGAAAACACUUCCAGAGGCCAUGUCUUCAGUAGAGGGUCGAGCUUUGAAAGACUCCGUUCGCAUCGUAACUAAAUUCUCAGAGAUGGACGAGACCUUUUCCCUCCAAAAUAUUUUCAGAUAUGACGUUGUGGUUGAUUU
This 217-nucleotide unclassified non-coding RNA is filed under the name Hevea brasiliensis (rubber tree). Lineage: Eukaryota; Viridiplantae; Streptophyta; Magnoliopsida; Malpighiales; Euphorbiaceae. The record is from RNAcentral.